Hordeum vulgare subsp. vulgare (domesticated barley) is the source of this 149-nucleotide long non-coding RNA. RefSeq lists it as uncharacterized. Lineage: Eukaryota; Viridiplantae; Streptophyta; Magnoliopsida; Poales; Poaceae. The record is from RefSeq and is a predicted model, not a curated record. The transcript is spliced from 2 exons.
AACAAUUAUCGGCGUGGACUGCCUUGGGUUCGACUUGAGAUUGUGCUAAGGAACACAAGUGCAGACACUGAGAUUUGCUUUCCCUACAAAGGCUAGUUCGGAGUUCAGCGCAGAGAAGCAGAUACACGAGCUUCUGUUUCCUAGGAGGA